RNAcentral lists this ribosomal RNA (465 nucleotides) under Vreelandella stevensii. Its description in RNAcentral is "partial 16S ribosomal RNA". It matches the Rfam family "Bacterial small subunit ribosomal RNA", at positions 338 to 795 of the family's 1533-position model. Lineage: Bacteria; Pseudomonadati; Pseudomonadota; Gammaproteobacteria; Oceanospirillales; Halomonadaceae. The record is from RNAcentral.
CCUACGGGUGGCAGCAGUGGGGAAUAUUGGACAAUGGGGGGAACCCUGAUCCAGCCAUGCCGCGUGUGUGAAGAAGGCCCUCGGGUUGUAAAGCACUUUCAGUGAGGAAGAACGCCUGGUGGUUAAUACCCAUCAGGAAAGACAUCACUCACAGAAGAAGCACCGGCUAACUCCGUGCCAGCAGCCGCGGUAAUACGGAGGGUGCGAGCGUUAAUCGGAAUUACUGGGCGUAAAGCGCGCGUAGGUGGCUUGAUAAGCCGGUUGUGAAAGCCCCGGGCUCAACCUGGGAACGGCAUCCGGAACUGUCAAGCUAGAGUGCAGGAGAGGAAGGUAGAAUUCGCGGUGUAGCGGUGAAAUGCGUAGAGAUCGGGAGGAAUACCAGUGGCGAAGGCGGCCUUCUGGACUGACACUGACACUGAGGUGCGAAAGCGUGGGUAGCAAACAGGAUUAGAUACCCCAGUAGUC